Non-coding RNA from Pangasius djambal, 73 nucleotides. NCBI's taxonomy places the organism in Eukaryota, Metazoa, Chordata, Actinopteri, Siluriformes, Pangasiidae. The record is from the annotation of a GenBank genome assembly.
CCAGUGGUAGCUGAGUGGUUAAGCUGUUUGACUACUGAAUGGAUGGACAUGAGUUCAAAUCCCAGCUACUGCU